UUUGCGCUGAAGUUGGAAGUUGAGGGGAGAAGGUUUUGAGGUUCCAGGAUGAGGCUGAGCAGUUGAAGAACAAAAAAACACAGCAGAAAUCCGUUGAUGAUGCCCUUGAAGAGGGAAAUAGUAGUACUAGAAUGUUCCCUAAGUGGCUGAGGCAAAUAACAAGUGAACAACAAGUAUUUCAUCCUCUCAAUUUGAUGACUCGCUACCAGCUGUGCUAGAAAGUAAAGAAUGAAGCAUGAUUGAUAAGCUUCAGAAUGAGAGUGAACUGGAUUCAAUUUCCUAUGCUUAACAUACAAAGCAGAAAGUAUAUGAUGAUGGGGAAUGGUCAUGAGGCCUUGCCUUCAAGGUUGACAAUUUUGAAGGAAAUAAUAGAUUAGCUUGUAUGAAAUGGGUGGCGUGGGUAAGAUAGUAAGUAUGAAUAGUAUAAACAUACAAUGUCUAUGUUCCUAAGACAAGUCCAAUCGUCGCUCGCAUUGAAGAUUCUUAUUUUCUACCCGGCUAAUUU
This 505-nucleotide unclassified non-coding RNA is filed under the name Hevea brasiliensis (rubber tree). The record is from RNAcentral. Lineage: Eukaryota; Viridiplantae; Streptophyta; Magnoliopsida; Malpighiales; Euphorbiaceae.